CCUACGGGCGGCAGCAGUGAGGAAUAUUGGUCAAUGGUCGCAAGCCUGAACCAGCCAAGUCGCGUGAGGGAUGACGGUCCUAUGGAUUGUAAACCUCUUUUGUCGGGGAACAAAGCCUGGCACGCGUCCCCGGAUGGAUGUACCUCGAGAAAAAGGCUCGGCUAACUCCGGGCCCGCAGCCGCGGUAAUUAGGAGGAUUCGGGCGUUAACCGGAUUUAUUGGGUUUAAAGGGGUCGUAGGCGGGAGGUUAAGUCAGCGGUCAAAGUUCGGGGCUCAACCCCGGCCUGCCGUUGAAACUUGGAUUCUCGAGUGAGCGAGAAGUAUGCGGAAUGCGUGGUGUAGCGGUGAAAUGCAUAGAUAUCACGCAGAACUCCGAUUGCGAAGGCAGCAUACCGGCCCUCAACUGACGCUGAGGCACGAAAGCGUGGGGAUCGAACAGGAUUAGAUACCCGAGUAGUC
Molecule: ribosomal RNA, 459 nt
Filed under: uncultured bacterium
Lineage: Bacteria
Description: partial 16S ribosomal RNA
Rfam family: Bacterial small subunit ribosomal RNA
Source: RNAcentral